This 199-nucleotide ribosomal RNA is filed under the name Lophoscutus sp. CW-2009. RNAcentral describes it as "partial 28S ribosomal RNA". It matches the Rfam family "Eukaryotic large subunit ribosomal RNA", at positions 981 to 1161 of the family's 3401-position model. The record is from RNAcentral. Lineage: Eukaryota; Metazoa; Arthropoda; Insecta; Hemiptera; Phymatidae.
GCUAACGCUUCCGUAUGAAGACGAGUCUCAUCCGGUAGAGCGAAUGAUUAGAGGUAUUGGGGUCGAAACGGCCUCAACCUAUUCUCAAACUCCAAAUAGAUGAGAACCUCGGCUUGCUUAAAAGUGAAGCCGUGGGUAGUCAGAAGACGGAUCAAAGUGUUAAGUGGGCCAUUUUUGGUAAGCAGAACUGGCGCUGUGG